ACUUCCAUAUGCCACAGGUGCAGCCAUAAAAAGAAAAAAAAUGCAGGUUGGUUGAAUGAAUACAUGAACUCAGGUCAGUUCUUUGUGGUGGUUUUCAUACUGGCUGCCAAGUUCUCAGACAGUCCUCCACUGGUGGUCCCUCUCCUUGAAUACUUCUGUCCUUCCACCACUUUAGUUGGGCAGAAGUGACACGAGUGAUUUCAAAGCUGAGUCAUAAGAGGUCACUCAGCUUUUGCAUGUCUUCUGGGGGCCGGGAGGCCCGUGUAGGCUGUCCAGCCACCCUGAGGCUGCCAUGUUGGGGAAACCAGGGCACUGACCACCGGGAACCUCUCACCCAGCAGAGACAGACGCUCAGCGUGGCUCUGGACCUUAGACAUGCGAUAAAGCAACCUACGGAGGAGUCCAGCCCCACCUGAUGCCAAGAGCUUUUUAAAGAGAUGGAGCACACCAUCGUGAAAUGAGAGACUUUGAUCAAACAACAAUCCUUUUGGCCUAGAAGUCACGUGAGAGCAUGCAAACCAUUUUCACCUGUGUGAUCCUCCAAUUCCCAUAACUACCCCUUGACACGAACGAGAGGAACAGUUCUAUAUUCCUCCUUAAUAAAGUUAUGCUCCUGGCUCAGGAUCAUGCUUGUUCACAGCUGAGCUGAGACUAGGAAACAAACCUCCUUGAAUUGCAAGUCGAGAAAUAGGACAGAAAGGAAAUGAAAAGGAAUACCGUCAGCUGACGUGUUUGAAUAGCAAAUUAUUGUCGCUUCAAUUUUCCUUGAUUACAAUUUUGUCUUUUCAAUAAACAAAAUCAGAACAUUUUAAAAAAAGAAAUUCUGGGUCUUCAUAAAGUGGACAGUGUUGAACUAUUUUGAAGUGUGUAAUUUUAAAUAUAAAUAACUCAAUUGUAGGCACAACAGAAACUAGAUAGUGAAUGAUCCUUCUCAUUGCUGUCAUUGACUUUAAUUUUUCUAGUUCUAGGAAAACGGUAGAGAACUUGUUGUGAUCCGAAUCAGAAAACAGAAUAUAUUGAGUUCCACUGGGGUGGCCUAAAAAAAUGUACAUGCAUUUGUCUUUAAAUGCUACUUGGCAAUGUGUUCUAUUAUGCGGCCAAGGUCAAGUGUUGGACUGUAGAGAAUCCCCAGGAUUUCAUGGGUACCAUGUCACAUCUUCAUCAACAAGGCACUUGAAUGCAAGUCUUUGCUAUCUAACCCUAUGCUAGCAAUAGAACACACCAAGUCAGGACAUAAUGGCCCACGCUCCGUAGAGUCAGGGUCCCACUCUCAAGGUCAGAUCUUCUGGUGGCCUUAAUAAGGCAGACAGCUGGACAGGCUGUGUCUGUCUGCAUUCUGAGUAGGGAGGAGGGAUGUGCUGGUGAUCAGAAGAGAGGAGGGGUGGAGAUGGAGUGGAAGGCGAUGAAGCUGACCUUUGUUCCUACUUAGUGAAGCAAUAUCCUCAGGAUCACACCCAUCACUGGCUGAGCCGAAGCUGGAAGAGAUCUCAUGGGAGGCCACUGUGAGACAACAAAGAUGACAUCUGUACCCAUGGUGUUCCUCAAAGAUGGACGCCUGAGACCUGAUUCUGAAGCCCUGCUGGAGGGUUGGCCAGGAGUCCAGAAUUGGCAUGUCGAUCAAUGCUGAGUCCCCCUGAAAGAAGCGUGUUCAGUUGUGUCAUCGUCUCAACAGCUCCAAAGGUAACAAAGAGUAAAACCAGUCUCAGGUUCUGUUCCAGGGCAACAGGAGGAGUGACCCUUGAAUUUCUGGCUCUACAAAGAGAGGCUCUUCCUCACCACCUCAACCCAGGGGCAAGUCUUUGCACUUCCCUGAACCUCGGUGCCUAAAGUGAGCUGAGCGGUUGGGACAUUAGCCUUUAGAGUUCUUUUGUGUCUGAUGUUUGAUGAUGUCUUGAGAUGAAACAGUUGGUUGCAGCCAAGGCACCUGGAUACACGGUACCAUUUUCGAUCAGAGAAACUUACUCAGACCUUGGGCCAAAUGCUUUUCCAGGGUCCCUCCAUUCCACCCCGCAGACAAAGAUGAAGCAAAUGGCCCGUUUAUAGCAAGAUCCCGCUGAGUUUAGUUGGCAGGGCAUCCAAGAGACCUUGCAAAGAUGAUUGCCACCAACGACCCAGGUGCAGCGGGAAGGAUGUGGGUACAAACCCUUCUUGGGUGUGUCGCUUUAGACCAGGCCAGAGCCAUCAAAGCACCAUGCUUUCCUCCACCCUUUCCGACUGCCCCAAGACUGGCACCGCGCUUAGUAAGAGCGAAAGUAACACUUGACUAUCUGGGGGCCAACAGUCUUUUCUGGGUGGUUGAAAGAGGUGCCAGACAGAGUUGCCAUCCGGGAGAGAAAAUUUUCACAGCCCCAAACCAGAUCCUCUGCCGCCUGGUGUGCCAGCAUCCAGGCCUGACCCUUACAGUUGACUUGACCACAUGACGACAAGUGAUAAGAGCACAUUUACUAGCAGGUGUGACUGCAAAUCCUUAUUUUCAUCUGUCAUUCCGAAAUACAUAACGGCACCUACUUAGGCCAGAAAACCUUCUUUUGCCUAACAGUGUUUUCGAGAUAAAUUGGCAGUGAGAGGAAGCCUGCGUUGUUAUAGCACUGUUUGUCAGCUGAUUCCACUUAUCAAUUUAUCAGUGCCAUUUUGCAAGAAAUAGUCUCCACUUCAGAGAUGACACCUCAUACAUAAUGGGGAAGCUCUCAGUGUUACUCGACUGCCAGCACAUUACAUAAGAGAAUGUGUCACCAGGCCUCAAAUAAAGCAGCAAGACUGUGUAUGUAGGUGACACCAAAGCCGAUAUGCGCUUAGCCAAACGGUGAUUCAAUGCCUUCAGAAUGUGGGAUGCAAAAAUGAGAUUCUUCGGGAGUCAGAGGUCGACUCGGGAGAGUGUGAGAGCAAGCUCUGACAGCUCCCAAGCUCUGCAAGCUGUUCUCAGUUUUCCAAGAGCAGGGAGGAAACAGCGAAGGCUGAGACUCUGAUACCCCUAAACGUUUGAAUCCGUUUCACUGUUGGGCUUAAUUUUAUGUUCUGUUUCCAUCCUCCUCUAACACCUUCCUUCCUUGAGGUUAAGCCGCAGAAUGGGCUUAAUGAGCUGGUUGGGUCAUCAGUUAUCAACUUAAGAUAAAUGGCAGUUGGGGGAAGGUGGGGGAAGGGGGUCCCAUCCCUGAAGUCCCAGUGCCUGGCCCAGUCAGCCAACCACCCCACUUCAUCAAGAGCAAAGGAAGGCUGUGGGUGGUUUUCAUAUCAAGACAGCAAAGCAGCAUGUUAAGAGCUCCCCCAGAAUCGUGCAGAAACCCCAAGUGUUCUUUCCAGCUCUGUCUGGUUCUGGGCUGAGCGGCUCAGACCAUGCCGUUAGCUCCUCUGGAUCUGUCUUCUGAGAAAUGAGACCUAAUAGACGUGGCCUUCUGCAGAAAAGUUCUGUAGCUGACUUUCUGACAAGCCACGGGCAAGAAGGCAGAGGAUAAUUAAUUACGACCACCGUGCAAGCCUCCAAAGAAAGAUGGGAAGCAGUCUGAGACAGCUCUCAGCCACAGAUGACGUGUUUUCCAACACCCACUUCAGGAGCCACAGAGGAGGAUAACGGGGAAGGAAGAGCCGUCCAGAAGAUGGAAUCAAGUGGAGAACCCGGACUGAGAAGGGACUCCCGGAAAACGUAACUGGAACACACCAAGGAGCAUUCCCUACUAUCAGAGUCGGGGAGCUUACACCUUGCACGUUCUAUGUAGCCAAAGCCAUAUAAAUUAAUGUACAACCAUGAAUCUACUCUUGGUAGGAAGAGGGAUGGAGGAAGAGGAAUAUUGGGACUAUCUGCUACUGCUACGGGUUUUCUUUUUGAGGUCCUGGAAAUGUCCCAGAGUUAGCCUGGUAGUUGUACAAAUCUGUAAAGUACGGAAAGCUACGUACUUGUCUACUUAAAAAUGGUUUAAAUGGUGAAUUUUAUGUUAUGUGAAUUUUCUCUCAUUAAAAGAGGAAACUCUUCCUUUUCCUAGAAAAAUGUAUUAAGCUGAGUAUGACUAAACACUAUCUGGUUUUAAUACACAAAGCAAUUAAGGAAUUUACAAAAGGCAAAACUAACCUUCCCAACUGGUAGAUCAUGUUACAGCAGUGCCAGUCUCUAAAGGGUUGGGAAGGAGAGAUGGUUUGACUCAGAAUAAUUCCCAACCUAGAACAUCUCUGAGUGUGCUGAGUGUCUAGUCUGCUUCUGUGUCCCAUUGGGAGAUUGGGUUUUCAUUUUUGCCUUGGAGCCACUUAGAGGUUGACUUAGAAGGGAUUUGAACCCAGAGAUCAUCCUCGGACUAGAUAGAAAUAGUCCAGACCCUGUGUGACAGGCCAAUCAAACACAAGGAAGCUUGGAGUUCCUGUCAUGGCGCAGUGGUUAAUGAAUCCGACUAGGAACCAUGAGGUUGCGGGUUCAAUCCCUGGCCUUGCUCGGUGG
This is a non-coding RNA of Sus scrofa (pig), 4423 nucleotides long. NCBI's taxonomy places the organism in Eukaryota, Metazoa, Chordata, Mammalia, Artiodactyla, Suidae. The record is from RefSeq and is a predicted model, not a curated record.